Molecule: ribosomal RNA, 253 nt
Filed under: uncultured bacterium
Lineage: Bacteria
Description: partial 16S ribosomal RNA
Rfam family: Bacterial small subunit ribosomal RNA
Source: RNAcentral
UACGUAGGUGGCAAGCGUUGUCCGGAUCUACUGGGUGUAAAGGGCGUGCAGCCGGAGAGACAAGUCAGAUGUGAAAUCCACGGGCUCAACCCGUGAACUGCAUUUGAAACUGUUUCCCUUGAGUGUCGGAGAGGUAAUCGGAAUUCCUUGUGUAGCGGUGAAAUGCGUAGAUAUAAGGAAGAACACCAGUGGCGAAGGCGGAUUACUGGACGAUAGCUGACGGUGAGGCGCGAAAGCGUGGGGAGCAAACAGG